Molecule: long non-coding RNA, 530 nt
Organism: Aquila chrysaetos chrysaetos
Lineage: Eukaryota; Metazoa; Chordata; Aves; Accipitriformes; Accipitridae
Exons: 4
Source: RefSeq, a predicted model, not a curated record
CGAGGCUGCGGUGUUCCUCUCCCAACCGCCCUGGGCGGGCGGCGGCGGUUCCGCGCCGAGUGUUGGUAACGCCCCCCCCGAGGCAAACAACUCCGGUCGGCGAGCAGGGCGCCCGCCUCCCGCACCAGUUUCACCUAGCGCAUGUAAAACGAAAUGAAAAAUUCCCCUGAGCGCUGGCCUCGUCUGAAAGACCGAAGCACACAACUGACUGACAAGGCUGCGGAGUACCGCACGCUGGCAGGGCCACGCAACGCCGGCUCUAACGACACCAGGAGUUGGAUCUUUCUUACAAGUAGAACAGAAGGAGGCAGACGUGGGCUAUCAAAGAUAUGGAAUGGCUUUUAGAGAAGAAAUCAAAUCGUUUUGGAUUCUUCAGCCUCAAAAAGAGAUGGCUGGAGUCCAGGUGGUAAAACCAUGAGAGGCAUGGGAUGGAGAAGUUCCACCUACCGAAGACAUGUGGCAAAUGCUCUCCUGGCAUUUCUGUAUACAAAAUGGAUAGGAAACCCCUUAAAAGUGUGGCCAUCAGGUAC